This is a non-coding RNA of Saimiri boliviensis boliviensis (Bolivian squirrel monkey), 2144 nucleotides long. The record is from RefSeq and is a predicted model, not a curated record. Lineage: Eukaryota; Metazoa; Chordata; Mammalia; Primates; Cebidae.
CAGCAUCUCCGCCGUGAACAUGGCGUUGCCGCUCUUCUUCGGCCAGACCCACCCAAGACCGCAGCCGCCGCUUCUCACUCUUUCGGCUGUCAGCCACCGCCGUUGCUCUCCCCGGCUUUCCCGCUGUGUCUCCCCCAGCAGCCCGGCCCUUUUCCGGGAGCCUCCGCCCCUUUCCUUCAGCCUCCGCUGGCUCUGCAGCCCCGAGCCUCCGAGGAAGUCUCCUCGGCGGCGGCGCUGGCACCUUCUACCCGGUGCCACAGCCUCCGCUGCCGUCCCAGUGCCGGCCCUUCCCGGGGAUCGACGCCGGCCAGCGGCUGUGGUCGCCUACUCCCGGCUCGGGGCCGCCUUGAAGCCCGCGCUGGUCUGAUGCGCCGCCGCCCGCCUACUUGCUCGGGGAUGCGGCCCUCCAGCGACUGGGUGCCUGGAGGCGGUCUUCUGGACGCCGCGACGGGCGGCCUGUCCGGUGACCAAGGGCACGCACGCUGGGCCCAGCCUUGGCGAAGUGCGCGCGCGACUGCGCGGGUCUCUGUGCCUGGUGUGGCGGCUUCACAGCCUCAUCCAGACCCUGCGCGAGGCCGAAGCCGAAGGCGUACGGAACUGGCCGAGCGGCUACAGCCGUUUACCCAGGCUGCCUUUUGGGGGCUGGAGAGGACUCGGGAACGCGAGGCCGAGCGGGAGGCAGAGGCCCCACGCAGGCAGUGGAACGCUAGCAGGAGAUUGACGGCUGGAGGGUCAAGUGUGUGCGGGAGGUGGAGGAGAAGAAGCGAGAGCAGGAAGUCCGAGCAGCUGCUGAUGGCCUACUGUCUGAAGUGAGGAAAAAACAAGCGAUAGCAAAAGAAUGGUGGACAUUCUUCGGGCUUUGGAGAAGUUGAGGAAACUGAAGAAAGAGGCUGCAGUGAGGAAAGGGGUCUGUCCGCCAGUCUCAGCAGACGAGACUUUGGAGCAUCGUCUUCAGCGACUGAGAAAACUCAUGAAAAAGCGCUCUGAACUAUAGGAAGCUGAAGAGAGCCCUCAGAGUUAUGCUGGAAGGAGAACAAGAGGAAGAGAGGAAAAGAGAAUUCAAAAAGAAACAAAAGAAAAAGAGAACAUUUUACUUCAGAAACGUGAAAUGGAGUCAGAGUUUGGGGAUCCAGACGAGUUCCCACGUGCUCACCUCUUGGAGCCUUUCUGGCAGUUUUACCUCCAAGCCGAGCACUCCCUGCCAGCACUCAUCCAGAUCAGGCAUGAUUGGGAUCAGUGCCUGGUGCCAUCCGAUCAUCCCAAAGGCAACUUCGUUCACCAAGGAUGGGUCCUUCCACCGCUACCCAGCAACGACAUCUGGGCAACUGCUGUUAAGCUGCGUUAGUAAAGAUGCUCCAGUAGUGUGGUCCAGGCAAUGCUCUUUCCAGCUCUAAAUAUUAGCAAUGCUGCCAUCUUUUGCUGUAGGCUAAAUCACAACUUCUAAAUUCCAUGUGCAUUCCCCUACCCUGACGUUAGGCUUUCCUUCUUGCUCUGUGCUGGCCAGAGGUGCCUCUUGAAUCAGGAGAUUAAUGUGGUUCUUCAGGAAAGGACUCAGGUGAACUGAGGUUAUUACCACAGGCAGUGAAGCACCUCGGCUCACCAAAUUUGCCUCCGUUUUGAGGGGCUUGGUCCAGAGUGACUUGUUAAUUUACUCUGACUUCUUGUGUGGUGAUGGGUAAGUACACUGAAACACUCAGUACAGGUGUGCGGUGGGUAGAUUUCACAGCCCUUCCACUAAUAGUGAGUGUGAAGGCAAGCUUGAUGCAGAACUUCCUGACCUUUUCUAUCUGAAGAGCCCUUUGACUCCUAGGAAGAAAGGUCAAAAAGCAUGUUACCUUCAGUUUUGUUAAUCCCAGUUUUAGUGCAGUUUGGGGGGCUGCUAGUUAGGAAGAUGGCAGUGGCUGUAGGUUGGGUUGCCAGAAAAGAUGGUGGCCUAGUCUUAAUCAGGUGGAGAAUUUAGAAAAUCUGAAGAGUACCCAAAUUGGAUUGUGUUUUAAUGUACAAUGGCUGUUUUUUCCAUGUUAGAAAGAUUCUAAUAAAAGCACCCAUUUUUUAAAGUUUCUAAGGGCUUAGUUGUUUUUUUUCAGAAUCCCUAAGGAAAUUUCCCUAAUGGGAGUGAGACCUUAACCUCACUCAGUCACAUG